RNAcentral lists this non-coding RNA (86 nucleotides) under Pseudomonas sp. URMO17WK12:I11. Lineage: Bacteria; Pseudomonadati; Pseudomonadota; Gammaproteobacteria; Pseudomonadales; Pseudomonadaceae. The record is from RNAcentral.
CGUUAUGGCGGCUGUGUGCGGGCAGACUUCGGUCUGGCCGGGUGCCUACUACCGGUGAUCUCACUCUGCACAUAGCUGCCACCUCU